Molecule: ribosomal RNA, 460 nt
Filed under: uncultured bacterium
Lineage: Bacteria
Description: partial 16S ribosomal RNA
Rfam family: Bacterial small subunit ribosomal RNA
Source: RNAcentral
CCUACGGGUGGCAGCAGUGAGGAAUAUUGGUCAAUGGGCGCGAGCCUGAACCAGCCAAGUAGCGUGAAGGAUGAAGGCCCUACGGGUUGUAAACUUCUUUUAUAAAGGAAUAAAGUGAGGCACGUGUGCCUUUUUGUAUGUACUUUAUGAAUAAGGAUCGGCUAACUCCGUGCCAGCAGCCGCGGUAAUACGGAGGAUCCGAGCGUUAUCCGGAUUUAUUGGGUUUAAAGGGAGCGUAGAUGGGUUGUUAAGUCAGUGGUGAAAGUUUGCGGCUCAACCGUAAAAUUGCAAUUGAAACUGGCAGUCUUGAGUAUAGUUGAGGUAGGCGGAAUUCGUGGUGUAGCGGUGAAAUGCUUAGAUAUCACGAAGAACACCGAUUGCGAAGGCAGCUUACUAAACUGUCACUGACGUUGAUGCUCGAAAGUGUGGGGAUCAAACAGGAUUAGAUACCCCAGUAGUC